GGGUAAUUGCCUGUAAAUCCCUAACGUUUACACGGAAUUGGUUUUUGCACCUUUUUUUAUUUUUCUUCUUUUAAAUACCUAACCUUUAGUUUUUGUCUAGAAUUUAUCCGGCGACCGGUUUUUUCUUACGCCGGCGCCGGAAAUGCCACUGUGGCAGUCGGAAUCGACGAGGUGGCAGCCGGAAUUCUCCACUUGGCUCAUUUUUUACAUGUGGCAAAAAAAUCUAAACAAAAAAAUGAAAUAAAAAUACAUGUGGAAAUAAAAAUUUUUAAAAAAAAGAAAACAAAAAAGGAAAAUCAACCCCCUUCCCCCCCAAUCAUCAUUUCCCUCACCCCAAACCCUAACUCUCCCUCUCCCCACCCGGCGCAGCCCCCUG
RNAcentral lists this long non-coding RNA (376 nucleotides) under Salvia miltiorrhiza (redroot sage). RNAcentral's name for it is "long non-coding RNA (SMIL_LNC010699)". The record is from RNAcentral. Lineage: Eukaryota; Viridiplantae; Streptophyta; Magnoliopsida; Lamiales; Lamiaceae.